This is a long non-coding RNA of Symphalangus syndactylus (siamang), 848 nucleotides long. RefSeq lists it as uncharacterized. NCBI's taxonomy places the organism in Eukaryota, Metazoa, Chordata, Mammalia, Primates, Hylobatidae. The record is from RefSeq and is a predicted model, not a curated record.
AAGUUCUCAGCUUGUCAAAUGAUCUCGGAGAGUAUAGCAAGGUUAAACUGAAGAUCUGCUUAACUGAUUCCCUGGCUUAGUUCCAGCAUGUGCAAUGAUGCAGUUCUGAAGUGCAAAGUGCUUAAUCAUUAAGCUUGCUCUGGCAGGAAAACAUUUUACAAGUUCCACUACACAAACUUCACUAUCAAUUCAUACAGCAGAUAUCAUCAUACACAGUCCAGGUGUGAAGAUUUGGGCUCAGAGAGACCAAGUCAGUGAAUUGCCUGAAGACACAUUGUUGAGUACCUGCUUUCUCUGUGGAAGCUGUGGCAAAUUUCCAGACUUGGCAUCAGGUGGCUUUUGAUGAUUCUCAAAGAUAAUAUUCAUCUAACAUGAAUACAUUUUACUGCUCCUGGGGACACCUAUAAGAAUGCCCCACUGUGGCCGGGCACAGUGGUUCAUGCCUAUAAUUCCAGUACUUUGGGAGGCCAAGGCGGGCAGAUCACCUGAAGUCGGAAGUGUGAGACCAGCCUGACCAGCGUGGAGAAACCUCAUCUCUAUUAAAAAUACAAAAUCAACUGGGCGUGGUGGCACAUGCCUGUAAUCACAGCUCCUCGGGAGGCUGGGGCAGGAGAAUUGCUCGAACCCAGGAGGCAGAGGUUGUGGUAAGCUGAGAUUGCAACAUUGCACUUCAGCCUGGGCAACAAGAGCAAAACUCCGUCUCGAAACAACAACAACAGCAACAACAACAACAGCAACAGCAACAAAAUGCCCCACUGCCUAAAAAUAUAUCCUAAACACGAAGUUCAAAAAUGUUUUAAUCAAUGAAAGCAAAAAUAAAAUGUGUGUGGAGCUUCCUAAAGGUAAAA